GGAUUUUCCAUUCAUAAAUGCUAAAAUGGCCAUUGCCUACCCUGCACCUAGGAUUUCAACCUGGAACUUUUCACACCCUCUGUGCAUUUCCUGGAGACCCUUCCCAUCAUCCACAUGAUCUGUAGGAGCACCACGGUCCUUCAGUUCUGCCAGCUAAGCUGCUCUUGAAUUCGCCUUCAUCCAGAUGGACUUUUUCAGAAGGCCUCCUUGGCCUGGGCAGCCGCAGCCUCCAGCAUUGCUCCUUUCUCUCUGCAGCAGGAGUGAUCUUUCCAGGAUGUUUAUCUGUAUCUGUCAGGUGGCUGUUCCGCCCCUGCUUAAAAUUCUCCAGCAGGACUUCAGAGUUGCCAGGGUGAAAUGCAGAGCCACUGGCUCACCCUCCCUGGUCUGAUCCUGUGCAUGUCUUCUAAACUUAUCUCUGGCACCAUGGCCAUGUGAAAUAGUCGUUCCAGCAUUUCCUUAAGCAUAUAUUUUUAAUCUUCUUUUGCCUCCUAUUCCCUCUAUUUGAAAUGUCACCCACACCACUUCCCCAUUAAUAGCUGCUUUUCUGUCUUGCUAGCUCCUACACAUUUGCACAUCACCUGGACAUUAUCGGCACCUCAAAGCCUCUCCUGGCGUUGUUCCUUCCAGAGUGAGGUGCCCCUGUCGGUUCUCCCAUAAAACCAUGGGUUGCACUGCAUGUAGCUCUCUGGACUCUGAUCAUUGAUUUACUUUCCUUUCUCCCUUAGUCACCUUUGAGUUCCACGUGCUGUCGGCCCAUCUCAAACUCAUGACACAAUUGUUGACACAUAGAUGGUAGCCAGUGCUUGUCAAUUCAGGUUUCCAGUCAAUGCAAGAAGCCCUUCUUCCGUCCCUUCAGGAUCAGCCUGCUCUCUGCAGGGCGCUUCCAGGGACAAGGCCUCAUGAGGACAGCCCACUCCAUAAACAGGUGGAAUGCUGCCUUGAUCAAGUGCAGUCUCCUUCCCAGCUCUGCAAUGCAAGCGCACCCUGGACCCUGACUUCCCCAUCCUCCUUUUAUGCAGUCUCAAACUGAUGUGUCAUCGCUCCACAGUCCCUCAAGCCCCCAAGCUUCUCCCUCCUGCCUAGCUCCUUCCCUGGCCCCCAAAGAAGGCUGACAGGAGAAACUAAACUGAAAUAAAGAGGCCAUGGUAGCUCUGUUUCCUAAGAUGUUUUGUUCUUUUUCUACCCAUAAGGGAAUGAUUCAAAAUGUCCCUCCACCUGGGUCCAACCGGUUUGCCUGAAGUUAAUUCACUCACCAGCUGUUAAGGCUGCUUCUGUCCUUGGGUGAAAUUUGGCUGGCUCACCCACUCUUCGGAGCUACAACUGGGCCUGGCCUCAUUAGAAGCCAUGUGGCCUCUGUAGCUGGCACCGUGGCUGUCCCCCGAGUCAGCCGGGAUUGCAUCAGCUCCUCUGAUGGCCAGAAGCAGAUUUCACAUUUUUUCCUCUCUCGAAUGUGUGCUGUCUUCUUGCUGCGUUCUGAUUUAGCUUCCUAUCUCUGAGACACAUAUUUAGCUCUCGUCUCAUUUGCAGAGGUACUGUCAUGCUUUUGAACGAUGUGGUCUUACUUUUCCAGCUGUUCCAUGUCACCAAACCAACAUUCUUUGGGGUUACACUUGUGGGGAAUUGUCUUCCAAAAGACUAUCUUUCUAUUUCAAGUUUUGCCUAAGCAUCUCCAGCAGACAUUAUCAAUGAGGUAAUUUUUGGCAAACUUAAGAGCGUGAUCCUGCGUAACAGAUGCUUAGGAGAGCACUGACAACUCACACAAGAUGAUUACCAUUCCACUGGCUUGACCCUCCUAGGUUGAGAGCACAAGGG
RNAcentral lists this long non-coding RNA (1812 nucleotides) under Homo sapiens (human). Its description in RNAcentral is "HSALNT0026805". The record is from RNAcentral. Lineage: Eukaryota; Metazoa; Chordata; Mammalia; Primates; Hominidae.